This 225-nucleotide unclassified non-coding RNA is filed under the name uncultured fungus. Its description in RNAcentral is "sequence contains ITS1, 5.8S rRNA gene". The stretch from base 177 to 225 matches the Rfam family "5.8S ribosomal RNA", at positions 1 to 49 of the family's 154-position model. Lineage: Eukaryota; Fungi. The record is from RNAcentral.
UUUCCGUAGGUGAACCUGCGGAAGGAUCAUUAUUGUAGGGACUCCGGUCCCCUCAAGAUGCAACCCGUGCCUUUUUUGUAGCCCGUAACGUUUCCUCGGCAGCCCCGCUGCCAGCGAGGACCCAAACCAAACCCUGAAGUGAGCGGUUACGUCUGAAAACAAACAAAAUCUAUCAAAACUUUCAACAACGGAUCUCUUGGUUCUGGCAUCGAUGAAGAACGCAGC